GACGUAUUCCAAUAUCAGAAACAAACCGGUAGAUACAAUACAUACCGCAACCCGCAGCUGUCAGAAAGCUAAAGUUGGCAAUUGAAGAAGAAAUAUCAAUAGAAACAUCAAUAGCUUUGGCAGCAGCAUAUAAGGAUCCUGCCUGCCCACUUCGACCAACACUGAUGCUCUUGGAUAUGAGAAGACCUGUCUUACAGUAGAUUGCAAAAUCCUCACAGUUGUU
RNAcentral lists this unclassified non-coding RNA (223 nucleotides) under Hevea brasiliensis (rubber tree). Lineage: Eukaryota; Viridiplantae; Streptophyta; Magnoliopsida; Malpighiales; Euphorbiaceae. The record is from RNAcentral.